Molecule: ribosomal RNA, 253 nt
Filed under: uncultured bacterium
Lineage: Bacteria
Description: partial 16S ribosomal RNA
Rfam family: Bacterial small subunit ribosomal RNA
Source: RNAcentral
UACGUAGGGUGCGAGCGUUGCCCGGAUUUAUUGGGCGUAAAGGGCGCGUAGGCGGCUCGGCACGUCCGUUGUGAAAUCGCCCGGCUCAACUGGGCGGGGUCGGCGGAUACGGCCGAGCUGGAGCAAGCUAGGGGGUAAUGGAAUUCCCGGUGUAGUGGUGGAAUGCGUGGAUAUCGGGAGGAACACCAGUGGCGAAGGCGGUUACCUGGAGCUUUGCUGACGCUGAUGCGCGAAAGCGUGGGGAGCGAUCCGG